This 407-nucleotide ribosomal RNA is filed under the name uncultured bacterium. RNAcentral's name for it is "partial 16S ribosomal RNA". It matches the Rfam family "Bacterial small subunit ribosomal RNA", at positions 28 to 526 of the family's 1533-position model. The record is from RNAcentral.
GACGAACGCUGGCGGCGUGCCUAAUACAUGCAAGUAGGACGCAGAUGUGAACGGGUGAGUAACGCGUAGGUAACUGCCUAUUAGAGGGGGAUAACUAAUGGAAACGAUCGCUCAUACCGCAUACUAGUAGAUGGACCUGCGUUGUAUUAGCUAGUAGGUAGGGGAAUGGCCUACCUAGGAGACGAUACAUAGACGACCUGAGAGGGUUGUUGGCCCCCCGGGGACUGUGAAACGGCCCCAACUCCUACGGGAGACAUCAGGAGGGAAUCUUCGGCACUGGUGCGAACCCUUACCGAGCCACGCCGCGUGAGUGAAGAAUGUUUUCGGAUCGUAAUGCACUGUUGUUAAAGAAGCGGUACUUAACCAGAAAGGGACGGCUAACUCCGUGCCAGCAGCCGCGGUAAUAC